AGAGUUUGAUCAUGGCUCAGAGCGAACGCUGGCGGUAUGCUUAACACAUGCAAGUCGAGCGCGAAAGUGGCUUCGGCCACGAGUAGAGCGGCGGACGGGUGCGUAACACGUGGAUAAUCUGCCUUCAGGUCUGGGAUAACCCUGGGAAACUAGAGCUAAUACCGGAUAAGACCACAGGUUUCAUGGAACCAGAGGUAAAAGGCGGCUUUCGGGCUGUCUCCUGAAGAUGAGUCCGCGUCCCAUCAGGUAGUUGGUGAGGUAACGGCUCACCAAGCCUAAGACGGGUAGCCGACCUUAGCGGGUGAUCGGCCACACGGGGACUGAGACACGGCCCCGACUCCUACGGGAGGCAGCAGUGGGGAAUCUUGGGCAAUGGGCGAAAGCCUGACCCAGCAAUACCGCGUGAGGGAUGAAGGCCUUCGGGUCGUAAACCUCUGUCAGCAGGAACGAUGGGUUUCCGUGCUAAUACCACGGAGACUUGACGGUACCUGCAAAGGAAGCCCCGGCUAACUCCGUGCCAGCCGCCGCGGUAUAC
RNAcentral lists this ribosomal RNA (535 nucleotides) under uncultured bacterium. RNAcentral describes it as "bacterial SSU rRNA". It matches the Rfam family "Bacterial small subunit ribosomal RNA", at positions 8 to 526 of the family's 1533-position model. The record is from RNAcentral.